Molecule: transfer RNA, 64 nt
Filed under: Cantharidae sp. GENSP01
Lineage: Eukaryota; Metazoa; Arthropoda; Insecta; Coleoptera; Cantharidae
Description: tRNA-Leu
Source: RNAcentral
UCUAAUAUGGCAGAUUAGUGCAAUGAAUUUAAGCUUCAUACAUAAAACCACGUUUUUUUUAGAA